This 253-nucleotide ribosomal RNA is filed under the name uncultured bacterium. RNAcentral's name for it is "partial 16S ribosomal RNA". It matches the Rfam family "Bacterial small subunit ribosomal RNA", at positions 524 to 776 of the family's 1533-position model. The record is from RNAcentral.
UACGGAGGGUGCAAGCGUUAUCCGGAUUCACUGGGUUUAAAGGGUGCGUAGGUUGAUAGGUAAGUCAGUGGUGAAAUACUCCGACUCAAUCGGAGAACUGCCGUUGAUACUAUCUAUCUUGAAUACGGUGGAGGCGGGCAGAAUGCGUCAUGUAGUGGUGAAAUACUUAGAUAUGACGCAGAAUACCCAUUGCGAAGGCAGCUCGCUACGCCGGCAUUGACGCUGAGGCACGAAAGCGUGGGGAUCAAACAGG